RNAcentral lists this unclassified non-coding RNA (351 nucleotides) under soil metagenome. RNAcentral's name for it is "partial contains 5.8S ribosomal RNA, internal transcribed spacer 2, and large subunit ribosomal RNA". The stretch from base 1 to 120 matches the Rfam family "5.8S ribosomal RNA", at positions 35 to 154 of the family's 154-position model. The record is from RNAcentral.
GAUGAAGAACGUAGCGAAAUGCGAUAAGUAGUGUGAAUUGCAGAAUUCCGUGAAUCAUCGAAUCUUUGAACGCACAUUGCGCCUCCUGGUAAUCCGUGAGGCAUGCCUGUCCGAGCGUCAGUAAAAAGCAACUCGGCCGCGGCUGGCGGUUGGUGAUGGAGGAAGAGCACGUCUCGUUGUCGGUCUCCCCUCCCAAAAUCAACGGCGGAAUGUCACUGGCACUCGGUGUUGUAGUAUUAUUCGCCUAUCACCCAUUGUUGUUCCUGCCGCCCAAACCCCCACAAUUCUCUUGAUUGACCUCGGAUCAGGUAGGGAUACCCGCUGAACUUAAGCAUAUCAAUAAGCGGAGGA